UACGGAGGGGGCUAGCGUUGUUCGGAAUUACUGGGCGUAAAGCGCACGUAGGCGGCUUUGUGAGUUAGAGGUGAAAGCCCGAGGCUCAACCUCGGAACUGCGUCUGAAACUACUCGACUAGAGUACUGGAGAGGGUAACGGAAUUCACGGUGUAGCAGUGAAAUGCGUAGAUAUCGUGAGGAACACCAGAGGCGAAGGCGGUUACCUGGACAGGUACUGACGCUCAGGCACGAAAGCAUGGGGAGCAAAAGGG
This 253-nucleotide ribosomal RNA is filed under the name uncultured bacterium. Its description in RNAcentral is "partial 16S ribosomal RNA". It matches the Rfam family "Bacterial small subunit ribosomal RNA", at positions 524 to 776 of the family's 1533-position model. The record is from RNAcentral.